This 263-nucleotide ribosomal RNA is filed under the name uncultured bacterium. RNAcentral's name for it is "partial 16S ribosomal RNA". It matches the Rfam family "Bacterial small subunit ribosomal RNA", at positions 793 to 1055 of the family's 1533-position model. The record is from RNAcentral.
GUCCACGCUGUAAACGAUGAAUACUAUUUGUGGAGGGCUAUAUGCCCCCUGCAAAAAGACUAACGCGUUAAGUAUUCCGCCUUAGCAGUACGAUCGCAAGAUUAAAACUACAAAGUAAUUGACGGGGGCCCGCACAAGCGGUGGAUCAUGUGGUUUAAUUCGAUGCUAACCGAAAACCUUACCAGCUUUUGACAUGCAUAUUUUGGAUUCACGAAAGUGGUCCUUCAUUAGUUGGGUAUGCACAGGUGUUGCAUGGCUGUCGU